UACGUAGGGUGCAAGCGUUGUCCGGAAUUAUUGGGCGUAAAGAGCUCGUAGGUGGUUUGUCGCGUUGUCCGUGAAAACUCACAGCUCAACUGUGGGCGUGCGGGCGAUACGGGCAGACUGGAGUACUGCAGGGGAGACUGGAAUUCCUGGUGUAGCGGUGAAAUGCGCAGAUAUCAGGAGGAACACCGGUGGCGAAGGCGGGUCUCUGGGCCGUAACUGACGCUGAGGAGCGAAAGCAUGGGGAGCGAACAGG
RNAcentral lists this ribosomal RNA (253 nucleotides) under uncultured bacterium. RNAcentral's name for it is "partial 16S ribosomal RNA". It matches the Rfam family "Bacterial small subunit ribosomal RNA", at positions 524 to 776 of the family's 1533-position model. The record is from RNAcentral.